UACGUAGGGUGCAAGCGUUAAUCGGAAUUACUGGGCGUAAAGCGUGCGCAGGCGGUUUGGCAAGACAGAUGUGAAAUCCCCGGGCUUAACCUGGGAAUGGCAUUUGUGACUGCCCGGCUAGAGUGUGUCAGAGGGGGGUAGAAUUCCACGUGUAGCAGUGAAAUGCGUAGAGAUGUGGAGGAAUACCGAUGGCGAAGGCAGCCCCCUGGGAUAACACUGACGCUCAUGCACGAAAGCGUGGGGAGCAAACAGG
This 253-nucleotide ribosomal RNA is filed under the name uncultured bacterium. RNAcentral describes it as "partial 16S ribosomal RNA". It matches the Rfam family "Bacterial small subunit ribosomal RNA", at positions 524 to 776 of the family's 1533-position model. The record is from RNAcentral.